UACAGAGGGUGCAAGCGUUAAUCGGAAUUACUGGGCGUAAAGGGUGCGUAGGUGGUUUUGUAAGUCAGAUGUGAAAUUCCUGGGCUUAACCUGGGGACUGCGUCUGAUACUGCGAAGCUAGAGUACUGUAGAGGAAAGUGGAAUUUCCGGUGUAGCAGUGAAAUGCGUAGAUAUCGGAAGGAACAUCAGUGGCGAAGGCGACUUUCUGGACAGAUACUGACACUGAGGCACGAAAGCGUGGGGAGCAAACAGG
RNAcentral lists this ribosomal RNA (253 nucleotides) under uncultured bacterium. Its description in RNAcentral is "partial 16S ribosomal RNA". It matches the Rfam family "Bacterial small subunit ribosomal RNA", at positions 524 to 776 of the family's 1533-position model. The record is from RNAcentral.